RNAcentral lists this ribosomal RNA (460 nucleotides) under uncultured bacterium. Its description in RNAcentral is "partial 16S ribosomal RNA". It matches the Rfam family "Bacterial small subunit ribosomal RNA", at positions 338 to 795 of the family's 1533-position model. The record is from RNAcentral.
CCUACGGGUGGCAGCAGUGAGGAAUAUUGGUCAAUGGGCGGAAGCCUGAACCAGCCAAGUAGCGUGCGGGAUGAAGGCCCUACGGGUUGUAAACCUCUUUUAUACGGGGAUAACACGCUGUACUUAUGGAGGUCUGCAGGUACCGUGCGAAUAAGGGCCGGCUAAUUCCGUGCCAGCAGCCGCGGUAAUACGGAAGGUCCGAGCGUUAUCCGGAUUUAUUGGGGUUAAAGGGAGCGUAGGCGGGCUGUCAAGUCAGGUGUGAAAUUGUGGGGCUCAACCGUAGACUGGCAGUUGAGACUGGAAGCCUUGAGUACACGAGAGGUAGGCGGAAUUCGUGGUGUAGCGGUGAAAUGCAUAGAUAUCACGAGGAACUCCGAUUGCGAAGGCAGCCUGCUGGAGUGUAACUGACGCUGAUGCUCGAAGGUGCGGGUAUCAAACAGGAGUAGAUACCCCUGUAGUC